UAAAGUUUUCUCACUUUUAUUUCAGAAAAUUCUAAGAUAAUAAGAAUAUCAAGAAGAAACUGCAAUACUUGGAACUUCAAAUAAACUUGAUUUCUAAUAUCAUCUUUCAGAAAUUGAAAUAGUGAGAAUACUUAAUCAUCCAGAAGAGAAAAAGCAAUGAAGAAAUUGACAACCUUGAAAGUUUUAAAUGACCUCUUAUGCCAAGGGGGAACAAAUAGAACAGGAAGUGUGGGUGCAACUCAGUGGUAGAGUGCUUGCUUAGAAUGUACAGGUUCCAUCCCCCAGUACUGCCAAAAUAAUAAUGAUAAUAAUAACAGUAAUAAUCGAUCUUUUUAUGUAUGAUGUGUGUAACUACUACAAUUUACUAUCUAAAAAUCAGUAAAGGCAGGGACAUUUUAAAAAAUUAAGAACUGUAUUCUAUCAACAUAGAAAACAAGGCUAUCCCAUAAUCUCAAUAAAUAGCUAAAGCUCAGAAAUGUAUUACUGUCACAGACAAGUUCUGUCCAAUUGGCAUAUGGUCUUCUCCAUCUUGCUGCAAUACCUAAAGAAAUAGAAAGCACAAAUUUGAGCAAGGCUGGCAGUGCCAAACAUCUUCUUGUGUUUUAAUAAAUAACAUUGCAAACUCUAAACUUAUUCCUAGGUGCCAUUUAAGCUGAUUAUUAAACACCUUGUUAUGUAAAUAUUCUUGACAACCAUUUCAUUUGAAGGAUUUGUUUAACCUGUGGAUUAUUUGGGAGUAUGUUUGCUUUUUCAUACAAGCUAAUAUAUUUUUGUUUUGCUGAUGUUAGCUUUAUUUCCAUUUAUUUUUAUUGUUGAUUUCUAAUUUGAUUGCAUUGUUAAGAGAAUGUUAUCUGUGUGAUAAAAGUUUAGAACUGUUGUGAAUCCUUAUGUUCAGUAUGAUUUUGGAAAAAUUGUAUAGUUUCUG
RNAcentral lists this long non-coding RNA (925 nucleotides) under Marmota monax (woodchuck). The record is from RNAcentral. Lineage: Eukaryota; Metazoa; Chordata; Mammalia; Rodentia; Sciuridae.